UCCGUGGUAGUCCAGUGGUUAGGACUCCACACUCCCAAUGCUGGAGGCCUGGUUUCGAUCCCCAGCCAGGGAA
Cervus elaphus (red deer) is the source of this 73-nucleotide non-coding RNA. The record is from the annotation of a RefSeq genome assembly. Lineage: Eukaryota; Metazoa; Chordata; Mammalia; Artiodactyla; Cervidae.